RNAcentral lists this ribosomal RNA (483 nucleotides) under uncultured bacterium. RNAcentral describes it as "partial 16S ribosomal RNA". It matches the Rfam family "Bacterial small subunit ribosomal RNA", at positions 28 to 507 of the family's 1533-position model. The record is from RNAcentral.
GACGAACGCUGGCGGCGUGCUUAACACAUGCAAGUCGAACGCUGAAGCUCAGCUUUUGUUGGGUGGAUGAGUGGCGAACGGGUGAGUAACACGUGAGUAACCUGCCUCCUUCUUUGGGAUAACGCCCGGAAACGGGUGCUAAUACUGGAUAUUCACUGGUCUUCGCAUGGGGGUUGGUGGAAAGGGUUUUUCUGGUGGGGGAUGGGCUCGCGGCCUAUCAGCUUGUUGGUGGGGUGAUGGCCUACCAGGGCUUUGACGGGUAGCCGGCCUGAGAGGGUGACCGGUCACAUUGGGACUGAGAUACGGCCCAGACUCCUACGGGAGGCAGCAGUGGGGAAUAUUGCACAAUGGGCGCAAGCCUGAUGCAGCGACGCCGCGUGAGGGAUGGAGGCCUUCGGGUUGUGAACCUCUUUCGCUCAUGGUCAAGCCGCAACAAUGGUUGUGGUGAGGGUAGUGGGUAAAGAAGCGCCGGCUAACUACGUG